RNAcentral lists this ribosomal RNA (256 nucleotides) under uncultured bacterium. RNAcentral's name for it is "partial 16S ribosomal RNA". It matches the Rfam family "Bacterial small subunit ribosomal RNA", at positions 524 to 776 of the family's 1533-position model. The record is from RNAcentral.
UACAGAGGUCCCAAGCGUUUGUUCGGAUUCACUGGGCGUAAAGGGUGCGUAGGUGGCCAGGUAAGUUCGGUGUGAAAGCUCGGAGCUUAACUCCGAAAUGGCAUUGAAUACUAUCUGGCUAGAGGGUCGGAGGGGAGACUGGGAAUUCCUGGUGUAGCGGUGAAAUGCGCAGAUAUCAGGAGGAACACCGGUGGCGAAGGCGGGUCUCUGGGCCGAAACUGACGCUGGAGGAGCGAAAGCGUGGGGAGCAAACAGG